Molecule: ribosomal RNA, 253 nt
Filed under: uncultured bacterium
Lineage: Bacteria
Description: partial 16S ribosomal RNA
Rfam family: Bacterial small subunit ribosomal RNA
Source: RNAcentral
UACAGAGGUGGCAAGCGUUGUUCGGAAUUACUGGGCGUAAAGGGCGCGUAGGCGGUCUUGCAAGUCCUGUGUGAAAUCCCUCGGCUCAACUGAGGAACUGCACAGGAAACUGCUUGGCUUGAGUUCGGGAGAGGGAAGCGGAAUUCCGGGUGUAGCGGUGAAAUGCGCAGAUAUCAGGAGGAACACCGGUGGCGAAGGCGGGUCUCUGGGCCGAUACUGACGCUGAGGAGCGAAAGCGUGGGGAGCGAACAGG